RNAcentral lists this ribosomal RNA (503 nucleotides) under uncultured bacterium. RNAcentral describes it as "partial 16S ribosomal RNA". It matches the Rfam family "Bacterial small subunit ribosomal RNA", at positions 30 to 523 of the family's 1533-position model. The record is from RNAcentral.
AUUGAACGCUGGCGGCAGGCUUAACACAUGCAAGUCGAGCGGGGUGAUGGUGCUUGCACUAUCACUUAGCGGCGGACGGGUGAGUAAUGCUUAGGAAUCUGCCUAUUAGUGGGGGACAACAUCUCGAAAGGGAUACUAAUACCGCAUACGUCCUACGGGAGAAAGCAGGGGAUCACUUGUGACCUUGCGCUAAUAGAUGAGCCUAAGUCGGAUUAGCUAGUUGGUGGGGUAAAGGCCUACCAAGGCGACGAUCUGUAGCGGGUCUGAGAGGUUGAUCCGGCAAACUGGGACUGAGACACGGCCCAGCCUCCUACGGGAGGCAGCAGUGGGGAAUAUUGGACAAUGGGGGGAACCCUGAGCCAGCCAUGCCGCGUGUGUGAAGAAGGCCUUAUGGUUGUAAAGCACUUUAAGCGAGGAGGAGGCUCUUUUGGUUAAUACCCAAGAUGAGUGGACGUUACUCGCAGAAUAAGCACCGGCUAACUCUGUGCCAGCCGCCGCAGUAA